GCCUAGUUAGCUUGGAGGGUAGCGCAUCUGCCUUGUAAGCGCAAGGUCGCGGGUUCGAUUUCCCGCUUUGGGCG
RNAcentral lists this transfer RNA (74 nucleotides) under Diaphorina citri (Asian citrus psyllid). It matches the Rfam family "tRNA". From Rfam's summary of the family: Transfer RNA (tRNA) molecules are approximately 80 nucleotides in length. Their secondary structure includes four short double-helical elements and three loops (D, anti-codon, and T loops). Lineage: Eukaryota; Metazoa; Arthropoda; Insecta; Hemiptera; Psyllidae. The record is from Rfam by way of RNAcentral.